Molecule: ribosomal RNA, 253 nt
Filed under: uncultured bacterium
Lineage: Bacteria
Description: partial 16S ribosomal RNA
Rfam family: Bacterial small subunit ribosomal RNA
Source: RNAcentral
UACGAAGGGGGCUAGCGUUGUUCGGAUUUACUGGGCGUAAAGCGCGUGUAGGCGGGUCGUUAAGUUGGGGGUGAAAUCCCGAGGCUCAACCUCGGAACUGCCUCCAAAACUGGCGACCUGGAGCAGAUGAGAGGCGAGUGGAAUUCCGAGUGUAGAGGUGAAAUUCGUAGAUAUUCGGAGGAACACCAGUGGCGAAGGCGACUCGCUGGCAUCUUGCCGACGCUGAGACGCGAAAGCGUGGGGAGCAAACAGG